AUUGAACGCUGGCGGAAUGCUUUACACAUGCAAGUCGAACGGCAGCACGGGGCAACCUGGUGGCGAGUGGCGAACGGGUGAGUAAUACAUCGGAACGUGCCCAAUCGUGGGGGAUAACGUAGCGAAAGUUACGCUAAUACCGCAUACGAUCUACGGAUGAAAGCGGGGGAUCGCAAGACCUCGCGCGAAUGGAGCGGCCGAUGUCAGAUUAGGUAGUUGGUGGGGUAAAGGCUCACCAAGCCGACGAUCUGUAGCUGGUCUGAGAGGACGACCAGCCACACUGGGACUGAGACACGGCCCAGACUCCUACGGGAGGCAGCAGUGGGGAAUUUUGGGACAAUGGGCGCAAGCCUGAUCCAGCCAUUCCGCGUGCAGGAUGAAGGCCUCGGUGUAACU
RNAcentral lists this ribosomal RNA (396 nucleotides) under uncultured bacterium. Its description in RNAcentral is "bacterial SSU rRNA". It matches the Rfam family "Bacterial small subunit ribosomal RNA", at positions 30 to 431 of the family's 1533-position model. The record is from RNAcentral.